This 72-nucleotide transfer RNA is filed under the name Nippostrongylus brasiliensis. It matches the Rfam family "tRNA". From Rfam's summary of the family: Transfer RNA (tRNA) molecules are approximately 80 nucleotides in length. Their secondary structure includes four short double-helical elements and three loops (D, anti-codon, and T loops). Further hydrogen bonds mediate the characteristic L-shaped molecular structure. tRNAs have two regions of fundamental functional importance: the anti-codon, which is responsible for specific mRNA codon recognition, and the 3' end, to which the tRNAs corresponding amino acid is attached (by aminoacyl-tRNA synthetases). tRNAs cope with the degeneracy of the genetic code in two manners: having more than one tRNA (with a specific anti-codon) for a particular amino acid; and 'wobble' base-pairing, i.e. permitting non-standard base-pairing at the 3rd anti-codon position. The record is from Rfam by way of RNAcentral. Lineage: Eukaryota; Metazoa; Nematoda; Chromadorea; Rhabditida; Heligmosomidae.
GUCCCAGUAUCAUAGUGGUUACUGCACAGCCCCGGAUAGGUUGAGACGCAGGUUCGAAUCCCGUCUGGGAUG